Molecule: ribosomal RNA, 688 nt
Filed under: uncultured Bacillota bacterium
Lineage: Bacteria; Bacillati; Bacillota
Description: bacterial SSU rRNA
Rfam family: Bacterial small subunit ribosomal RNA
Source: RNAcentral
UAUCGCUGAAAGAUGGACUCGCGUCCGAUUAGUUAGUUGGUGAGGUAACGGCUCACCAAGACCGCGAUCGGUAGCCGGACUGAGAGGUUGAACGGCCACAUUGGGACUGAGACACGGCCCAGACUCCUACGGGGGGCAGCAGUGGGGGAUAUUGCGCAAUGGGGGCAACCCUGACGCAGCAACGCCGCGUGAAGGAUGAAGGUUUUCGGAUUGUAAACUUCUUUUCUUAAGGACGAAAAUUGACGGUACUUAAGGAAUAAGCUCCGGCUAACUACGUGCCAGCAGCCGCGGUAAUACGUAGGGAGCAAGCGUUGUCCGGAUUUACUGGGUGUAAAGGGUGCGUAGGCGGCAAUGCAAGUCAGAUGUGAAAUCUAUGGGCUCAACCCAUAAACUGCAUUUGAAACUGCGUUGCUUGAGUGAAGUAGAGGCAGGCGGAAUUCCCCGUGUAGCGGUGAAAUGCGUAGAGAUGGGGAGGAACACCAGUGGCGAAGGCGGCCUGCUGGGCUUUAACUGACGCUGAGGCACGAAAGCGUGGGUAGCAAACAGGAUUAGAUACCCUGGUAGUCCACGCUGUAAACGAUGAUUACUAGGUGUGGGGGGUCUGACCCCUUCCGUGCCGGAGUUAACACAAUAAGUAAUCCACCUGGGGAGUACGGCCGCAAGGUUGCAACUCAAAUGAAUUGACGGA